Molecule: unclassified non-coding RNA, 117 nt
Organism: Callithrix jacchus (white-tufted-ear marmoset)
Lineage: Eukaryota; Metazoa; Chordata; Mammalia; Primates; Cebidae
Rfam family: Metazoan signal recognition particle RNA
About the family: The signal recognition particle (SRP) is a universally conserved ribonucleoprotein.
Source: Ensembl
GCCAGGCAUGGUGGCUCACGCCUGUAAUCCCAGGACUUUGGGAGGCUGAGGCAGGUGGAUCACCUGAGGUCAGGAGUUCGAGACCAGCCUGGCCAACAUGGUGAAAACCUGUCUCUA